AGACGGAGGAUGCAAGUGUUAUCCGGAUUUAUUGGGUUUAAAGGGUACGUAGGCGGCAUGGUCAGUCAGUGGUGAAAUCUUACAGCUCAACUGUGAAAUUGCCAUUGAUACUGCCAAGCUAGCGUAAAGUUGAGGUGGGUGGAAUUCUACAUGUAGCGGUGAAAUGCAUAGAUAUGUAGAGGAAUGCCGAUAGCGAAAGCAACUCACUAAGCUUUUACGGACGCUGAGGUACGAAAGCGUGGGGAGCGAACAGGAUUAGAUACCCCGGUAGCCC
RNAcentral lists this ribosomal RNA (274 nucleotides) under uncultured bacterium. Its description in RNAcentral is "partial 16S ribosomal RNA". It matches the Rfam family "Bacterial small subunit ribosomal RNA", at positions 523 to 796 of the family's 1533-position model. The record is from RNAcentral.